UGAGGAAUAUUGGUCAAUGGUCGCAAGACUGAACCAGCCAUGCCGCGUGCAGGAAGACGGUCCUAUGGAUUGUAAACUGCUUUUAUACAGGAAGAAACCCUCCCACGUGUGGAGCUUGACGGUACUGUAGGAAUAAGGAUCGGCUAACUCCGUGCCAGCAGCCGCGGUAAUACGGAGGAUCCAGCGUUAUCCGGAAUCAUUGGGUUUAAAGGGUCCGUAGGCGGUCUUAUAAGUCAGUGGUGAAAGCCCAUCGCUCAACGAUGGAACUGCCAUUGAUACUGUAAGACUUGAAUGCUUAGGAAGUAACUAGAAUAUGUAGUGUAGCGGUGAAAUGCUUAGAUAUUACAUGGAAUACCAAUUGCGAAGGCAGGUUACUACUAAGUGAUUGACGCUGAUGGACGAAAGCGUGGGGAGCGAACAGGAUUAGAUACCCUGGUAGUCCACGCCGUAAAACGAUGGAUACUAGCUGUUCGNNCAGUUGAGUGGCUAAGCGAAAGUGAUAAGUAUCCCACCUGGGGAGUACGCACGCAAGUGUGAAACUUAAAGGAAUUGACGGGGUCAUAGCUGUUUCCUG
This 574-nucleotide ribosomal RNA is filed under the name uncultured bacterium. Its description in RNAcentral is "partial 16S ribosomal RNA". It matches the Rfam family "Bacterial small subunit ribosomal RNA", at positions 355 to 1376 of the family's 1533-position model. The record is from RNAcentral.